Long non-coding RNA from Harmonia axyridis, 670 nucleotides. RefSeq lists it as uncharacterized. The transcript is spliced from 2 exons. Lineage: Eukaryota; Metazoa; Arthropoda; Insecta; Coleoptera; Coccinellidae. The record is from RefSeq and is a predicted model, not a curated record.
ACGAAAGACUUGGCCCAGUGGCGUGCAUUGAGGUUUUACUACAGAGUACAGAUGUGAACAAAUAGAUGACGAACUCUCGGGAUUAUAGGUACAUAAUAGGUAUAGGUAAAAACAAAAAGUGAAACCUCUAAUAGACGUACUAGUCAGGAUACUACUGAAGUUUGAUCUGAAUUCUAUUGAAAAUACCACCAAGAAAUUUGAAGCUAUUUCAAGAAUUUGAUAAUGAUUAAUUGAUGCUAUGAAAAAGUAGUCACUCAAGUCACUGUGUUGAAUCCAGGGGGUCCCCGGAGGGGUUUACCCCCCUGGAGUAUGCCGGCCUGAAACCACCCCGAAGAAAAAGACUACCUCUCAAAAUCAAGACGAAUUUUUUAUUAUCCCCCUAGAUGUUGAAAUUGCCCCCCAGAGAAAAUUGUUUGGAUUUAGCACUGGUCAUGUCACAAAAUUUCUCAUUAACCGAACUCGCAAUAUUUACGACAUUUCUUUAUAUUCUUCAUCAGAGUAAAAUUAGGAAUUAUUCGUUGAAGCUUUAUUGAAAAAAUCUGUUAUUUUUGCGUGUAGUAAAUUCUUUCUGCUUUAUCACAAUAAUAUAUUGUAUCAUUAUAUAUUUACAUUUGUAUGAUUAUCUGAUGGAUGAACGAAAUUAUUAAUUAAUAACAGACCAGGAAUUACA